UGCCAGCAGCCGCGGUAAUACGGAGGGUGCAAGCGUUGUUCGGAAUUACUGGGCGUAAAGCGCAUGUAGGCGGCUUAUGAAGUCUGGUGUGAAAGCCCUCGGCUCAACCGAGGAAUUGCGCUGGAAACCAAUAAGCUUGAGUACGAGAGGGGAUUGUGGAAUUCCGAGUGUAGAGGUGAAAUUCGUAGAUAUUCGGAGGAACACCAGUGGCGAAGGCGGCUCACUGGCUCGAUACUGACGCUGAGGUGCGAAAGUGUGGGGAGCAAACAGGAUUAGAUA
This 279-nucleotide ribosomal RNA is filed under the name uncultured bacterium. RNAcentral describes it as "partial 16S ribosomal RNA". It matches the Rfam family "Bacterial small subunit ribosomal RNA", at positions 506 to 784 of the family's 1533-position model. The record is from RNAcentral.